AACGAACGCUGGCGGCAGGCUUAACACAUGCAAGUCGAACGCUCGUAGCAAUACGGGAGUGGCGGACGGGUGAGUAACGCGUGGGAACGUGCCCUGAGGUACGGAAUAACUGAGGGAAACUUCAGCUAAUACCGUAUGAGCCCCGAGAGGGGGAAAGAUUUAUCGCCUUGGGAGCGGCCCGCGUCGGAUUAGCUAGUUGGUGGGGUAACGGCCUACCAAGGCUUCGAUCCGUAGCUGGUCUGAGAGGACGAUCAGCCACACUGGGACUGAGACACGGCCCAGACUCCUACGGGAGGCAGCAGUGGGGAAUCUUGCGCAAUGGGGGGCAACCCUGACGCAGCCAUGCCGCGUGAACGAUGAAGGCCUUAGGGGUUGUAAAGUUCUUUUACCCGUGACGAUGAUGACGGUAACGGGGGAAUAAGCUCCGGCUAACUUCGUGCCAGCAGCCGCGGUAAU
Molecule: ribosomal RNA, 456 nt
Filed under: uncultured bacterium
Lineage: Bacteria
Description: bacterial SSU rRNA
Rfam family: Bacterial small subunit ribosomal RNA
Source: RNAcentral